Molecule: ribosomal RNA, 490 nt
Filed under: uncultured bacterium
Lineage: Bacteria
Description: bacterial SSU rRNA
Rfam family: Bacterial small subunit ribosomal RNA
Source: RNAcentral
AUUGAACGCUGGCGGCAUGCCUAACACAUGCAAGUCGAACGGCAGCACAGGGUAGCUUGCUACCUGGGUGGCGAGUGGCGGACGGGUGAGUAAUGCAUCGGAAUCUGCCCCGACGUGGGGGAUAACGUAGGGAAACUUACGCUAAUACCGCAUACGUCCUUAGGGAGAAAGCGGGGGACCGCAAGGCCUCGCGCGUUGGGAUGAGCCGAUGUCCGAUUAGCUUGUUGGUGGGGUAACGGCCUACCAAGGCGACGAUCGGUAGCUGGUCUGAGAGGAUGAUCAGCCACACUGGGACUGAGACACGGCCCAGACUCCUACGGGAGGCAGCAGUGGGGAAUAUUGGACAAUGGGCGCAAGCCUGAUCCAGCAAUGCCGCGUGUGUGAAGAAGGCCUUCGGGUUGUAAAGCACUUUUAUCAGGAACGAAAUGCCGCGGGCUAAUACCCUGCGGAGCUGACGGUACCUGAGGAAUAAGCACCGGCUAACUUCGUG